Molecule: transfer-messenger RNA, 358 nt
Filed under: Enterobacteriaceae (enterobacteria)
Lineage: Bacteria; Pseudomonadati; Pseudomonadota; Gammaproteobacteria; Enterobacterales
Also listed under: 1 other name
Description: Nardonella sp004296515 Standard tmRNA
Rfam family: transfer-messenger RNA
About the family: Bacterial tmRNA, also known as 10Sa RNA or SsrA, is named for its dual tRNA and mRNA-like properties. Its role is to liberate the mRNA from a stalled ribosome.
Source: RNAcentral
GGGGCUGAAAGGUUUUGACAGAGUAUUACUUAAAUUAUAUUUGCAUAUCAAGUUUAAGAACUUGUAAAAAUCUUAAAAAAAAAGUGCAAAUUUAAAAACAAAUGAAUCUUAUUUUGCAUCUGCAAUAUAAAUUCCUUCUUGUAUAAAUUCUCUCUAUAUAAUUUAUAUAUAGAAGUCAUAUUAAUAUAGAGUAAAUAUAUAAAUUAAUUAAGAGAUUUAUAUAUUUUUAAUAUUCUUAAUUAUUUAUUAUUAAAUGUUUUUCUUUUAAUAAUAAAAUAUUUUUUUAGAAAAACUAAAUAUGUAGAUAAUAUAAUUUAUGAGCUUUUGGACGUGGGUUCAAAUCCCACCAGCUCCACAA